Molecule: long non-coding RNA, 8345 nt
Filed under: Olea europaea (common olive)
Lineage: Eukaryota; Viridiplantae; Streptophyta; Magnoliopsida; Lamiales; Oleaceae
Description: long non-coding RNA (OEUR_LNC007130)
Source: RNAcentral
GGUCUUCGAUGAAGCCGAUAUUUCCAUGAAUCAUUGAAGUUGCAGAACCGACCACAUAAGGUAUGUAGCAACUAGCAUGUUAUUUACCCUUUAAAAUGAUUUAUGUUUCUAAUCAUGACAGUAUUUUUUCAAUGGAAUUUGAAUUAUGCCCCUUUGUUUUUUCCCAAAAAGAAAAUUUACUUCUUGCCCAGUCUGUAUUUGCAAUGUCAACAUGAUAGAGAACAAUAGAAAGUUCAAGUUAUAUAGAGUAUAGAAAAAACACUUACACUCCCAUGUAUAAACGGGAUCAAAUUUUUAUCCAUAAAACUGGAUGUCUCAGAAUCAAAACUUUUAACCCUUUCUGAAGUCCCGGACUUAGCCUUCCAAGAAAAGCUUGAAAAUCUGCGAAGAAUGUUUCAGAACUUAUAGUUACAAGAAAUGACAUGAUAUGCUAGAAAAGACCAAUCGGAAAGCAAUGUCAAGAUUUCCCAUACUUCUUAAUAUAUCCUGCAACUAGCUUUUCAAGUUUGGCCCUUGACGCAUAAAGAUAUGACUUAAUUGAUUUCCCCAUUCUAGGAAUUUGGUGCUGUUGACGUAAGCUAAGAACUUUGUCAACUGCCUUCUCAACUAUGAUUUUGUGAGCGUCCUUGCUUAAAAGGCGGUCACCCCAAGUUGGUUGUACUAAAUCCUUAACAUAUUCCACAAGAACAGCUCUAAAAUUUCUCAUUUGUUUUGAUUCCUUCAGCAGAUAUCCACAUAUUUGCACAAAACAUGCACUCAUCAUCUUUAUGUUGUCUUGUACAAAUGCACACAUUUUGCACAGAAUGUGCACACACUUCACCUCUACUGUGUCAUAGAGAGAACCCUAGUAGUGAGGCUGAACCUCAAUGAAAGAGUUCACUUUGGUGAAGAGUUAAGGAAAAUUCAGUUUUCUAAAUAAAGGACUGAUGGUUGUACUUUCUGGACCAUGUGUUCUUACUGUUAUUAACGAGAACAAUAUUGUUUUCGAAUAGUGUUGUUUGAGGUGUUAGAAUGUGAAGUGUAGAAAAGGGUUCCACUUGGUGGCUAUUGUGGUCCACCCACUAUGGGGUCUUUGCUAGGGCUGGAUAUGGUAUGGUUCGGUUCGGUUCCCUUAAGAACCAAAUCGGACCCAAAAUUUUCGGGUACUUAAUAAUUGGAACCGUCAGGUCUAAAUUUAAUUAUGGAACCGUUCGGGUUCAGUUCCGUUCCGUUCCGUUCCGUUCCGUUCCAUACCAUAAUUACAUUUUUUAACAUUUACAACACCACAUAAAUACAACUAAUAAUAUGUUGAAUCAUAACUUUUACAAAUUAACAAAGUCCCAUUAAAAACAUAUAAAUAACAAGUUAUCCAAUAACAUUAAUUUACCAAUGUAUACAUAUACCAAAAAGUAGAUACUAGUAUUAAAAUAUCGGCAAUCCAUAUCAAUAAUUCCCUUGCUUCAGCCUUCAAGCCUUCAAAAUCAAGUCUACAUAAAACAAUUAAAUAUGAAUUAAAAGUCAUAGAAAUAAAAUAUUUUUAAAUAUUGCUAAUACUUAUCAGCUAUUUGAUUAAUUAUCAAUUUCUUGACUUGCCAUACGAAGAAACUCUACGGAAAAAAUUGAAAAAACACAAUUAACCAACAUAAAUGAGCUAAAAAUUGUUCAACUAAUAAGAUUUAAUAAGAAAAAUAAAACAUAUAUUUUAAUACCUGUCUUAAUGCUCUCAUAGAACUCUGUCUCUUCAAUGCAAAUUCUAUCUUCGAAAACUCUCAAAAGUCUAGAUUCUUUUAUUAGCCAGUUUUGUGUACAAAUCAAGGCCUCAACUGUUUUAAGAGUUAAAGAACUCCUAAAUGGGUUAAGAAUGCGCCCUCCAGUAUGCUGACUCAGAAGUCACCGUAGAUACAGAAAUGGCAAGAACAUCCCUUGCAACUUUAGAUAAAAAUUCAAAGCUUGAACUGUUGAUCUUCCACUUUUUUAAAAUGUUAAAGUUUUCAUCAAUAGCAUUUUCAGUAGGUUCCAUUAGAUAUCGUUGUACCUCAUCUUUUCCAGAAAAAUCCAUUUUGCUAGUUUUCAUUUUCUUGUACCCAAAAUUUACAAUCAUCCCAAUCAUCAUCAUCAUCUGAACCCUCCAACAAAGUGACUCUAUCAUUAUAUUCAUUGCCACCACUUCCACUUCCACUAGCUCCAUUCUUUGAACGAUGACAUCCCUUGUACUGGUUAUACAAAGCAUACAAUAAUUUCAUGACCUCAGUUUUUGUGUCUUCAACCUUAACAGAGUCAUACAAGAUACCAAUACAAUGUACAACAAACUCCAACUUAUACCUAGGAUCAAGCACAAUUGCUACAAUCAAAAUUUUGUUCAUUUUAUCAACAUUAUCCCAAUACUUGUCAAACUUAAUCUUCAUGCUGUUUGCUAUGCUACUUAGCAAAUAAUCUUGUUUGUCACCCAUUUUUUUCAAAAUUUGCUCAAUUUUACACACUUCUUGGAAGUAAAUAUUGGAAGUAACAUUCAAUGAAGCACUAAACUUCAAUGUGACAUCAUAAAAGGUUUUUAGAAACUUAGCAAAUUUUCUUGCUUUCUCCCAAUCAUAACUUGUAGGUGGCCCCUCUUUUUCUUUUCCACCUUCAUUCUCGUCAAAAUAUUUAUAAUAAAAUCCAUCAUCUUCCUCCAUUCUAAAAAAAGUUUUUUCAAAACUUAAUGCACUAUCCAACAUUAAGAAUGUUGAAUUCCAUCUUGUAGAAACAUCUAAAACAGGAAGUUUUUUGUAUGCAAUCUUUUCCCUUUCAAUACAACAAUUAAAUUUCAUCAAUCGAGAAGGAGAUGAUCGAAAAUAUUUGACCGCAUUGCGAAUACUUUAUAUAGGUGGAUUAAACUCUUUCAAUCCUUCUUUAACAAUCAAAUUGACUGUGUGCUGAGCAACGUACAUGCAAAUAAGAGCCACCUAAAAUCAUAGCAUCAUCAGGUUUCCAAUUCUUUUGACUUGUUUUUCACAUAAAUGAUCGCUGCAUUAUUUGUGCUUGCAUUGUCUACAGUAAUUGUACCCACACGCUCUAUUCCCCAAUCAAACAAACAAUUUUCAAUAAGCUUCCUAAUUGUCUCCCCUUUGUGAUUUAGAACAACAGAAGAAGUCAAUAUCCUCUUAUGCAAUUUCCAACUUCUAUCAAUAAAAUGUGUCGUGACUACCAUAUAAUUGAUGUUUUGAAUUGAUGUCCAACAAUUAGUGGUUAAAGAAAUCCUUUUUCUAUCAUUAAUAAAUUUAAUCCUCAAUGAUUCCUUUGUUUCAUGGUAGAGAUGUAGCAAUCGUUCUUUGACAAGGAACCUCAAAUCUAGGACAAAGUUGAUGAACAAAUUCCUUAAAACCCACACAUUCCACAAAGAAAAAGGCCAAUUCAUCAAUAAUAAUCAUCUUAACCAAUGUUUUUCUACAGUUUUUUUUUAUUAAACACCAUUGCUGUAAUACCACCAUCAUUGUUUUCUCGAGUGAAUAUUGCUUGGUUGUCAUCAACCGUAGUGCUCUUAUAUGCAUAACAAAUUUUUAAAUGCUUCCAUAUGCUAGAAGUUCCUCUAUUAGUAUCAGCCUUAAAUGUUCUCCCACAAUAAUUACAUUUUGCUCUUUCUCCAUCAAGUAUUCUAGUGAAAUGAUUCCAUAUUUCCGACCUCUCAUUAAGCUGUUUUUUGUCUCCCAUUUGAGUACCCAAAACUGGUAGGAAAAUAUAAAGAAUAACCUAAUCUCAGGUUAUAAAAUACAAAGACUAACACACUUGCAUUUAUCUUACACAAAACACCACCAAAACACACUUGCAUUUAUCAAUAUAUUCGGAUUUGCAGGAAUAAUGAUCAAUUCAGAUUUGCAGUAACAACAGGAAAGAAAAUACAGCAAAUGGCAGAAACAUAAAAUCAGGAAAGAACUGAGAUUAAUGGACACAAGAACUUCAUGGUUUUGGGACAAAAUUUCAUCAACCAUUGCAGGGAUUUAACCCCAGUCAAUUUGCCAUUAAAAGAGGAAAUUACACUUGCAUUUGUCUUACACGAAACACCACCAAAACACACUUGCAUUUAUCAAUAUAUUCGGAUUUGCAGGAAUAAUGAUCAAUUCAAAUUUGCAGUGACAACAGGAAAGAAAAUAUAGCAAAUGACAGAAACAUAAAACCAGGAAAGACUGAGAUUAAGGGACACAAGAACUUCAUGUUUUUGAGACAAAAUUUCAUCAAUCAUUGUAGGGAUUUGACCACAGUCAAUCUGCCAUUAAAAGAGGAAAUUACACAGCAUUUGUCUUACACGAAACACCACCAAAACACACUUGCAUUUAUCAAUAUAUUUGAUUUUUCCCUAGUCCUUAGAGUCCUUCAUAUAGGUAAGACUAGAGAUGCUAUCACAAUAUACAACAAUAAUAUUUAAAGUUUGUGAGACAAUGCCAAGCUCUUGUAGGAACAUUUUCAACCAAAUAAAAUUUUCGAUUGUGACAAAUCAAGCAAUGAGUAUAGCAUAUCAGUGUGGAAGAAAGCAUAAUUGGGUGUCAAUUUGAGGUUGCUUCCCAGUCAACAUCAUUAAAAUCUAUUGCAAAUUUGAUAUUUGAUAGCAAAGCAAGUAAUCAACUCUCUCUAAGGUAUCAAAGUAUUACUUUGGUAUUUAACAGGAAUCUACUAACCCCACUGCAUAACAUUUAUCAGGUAGAUGUACACUUAUCGGCGCCGACAAAUGAUACUAAGAAGAGAAUUGACAUCGGGAAAAAAUUGAGGGCUUACUAUCGAAAGGUCUAUGGUUGGAGGUCUCGACUUUGAUGGGCUUUCGCCUUUCGGAGUUCACCGCUUCGAUGGCGACACUGGGGGCUGAACGGAAAGUUGGUCUUUGGAGUUUGGACGGCCGAACGGAGCGUUGGGGUUAAUGUUAAUAGGGUUGGUGUUUUUAGUGUACUAUGUAGUUUAUUUAGGGCUGGAUAAUGGAUACUUGGAUUUAGUGGGUUAGGCAUUAGAGAUUUAGAUUUGGGCUAAAAAUGGAAGAAUAAAAUGGGCUUGAAUGCUUGAUGUUGAGCCAAAAAAAAAAAAUUUAAAUGAAACAAAUAAUUGGGCCAAAAAAUUAGAUUUAGAAAAGUUUAAAAUAAUCUGAUUUAUUCAAUAUAAAAAAAUAAGAAAAAUUCGGUUCUUAUUCGGUUCUUGGUCUAGAACAAAGAACCGAAUCGUACCCGUCGAUUUUCGAUUCGGAUACGCAUUCGGGUAUUUAAUUUAAAAAGAACCGUUGGGUUCGGGAGUUUUGUCCGGCCCUAAUUUUUGUCUUUGGGGUGUACUAAGAAUAGAAGUUAUGAUGACAGAAUAAAUAGAGAGAAGAUGUGGAUUCCAUUUGGCCCGAACAUGGUUCACGAGAGGGAUGAGGGCAUAUCCAAGUGGGAAUGUAAUGCCAAAAAAAAUGAAGAUGGAGGUAUAUAGAUAUGUCUUCUGACGAUGAAACAGUUUGUGGUGAAGGUUUAAAAAUGAUAAAAAAGUUGAAUUUCCGGAAAAGAUGAACAUUCAAGGGGAAAAUAGUACUAUUGGAGUAAAGGUGGAAAUGCAAAUGCCAAUGGUGAAAGGUGAUAUUUCAAGGUGAAAAGCACAAUGAAAAAUUGGAAAAUAGUAAGGAGGAGAAAAGCACGAGGAGAAAAUCUGUGGCAAAGAGUUGAAGAAGUUCAUGGGGAGAGGCUUAAAAGUUGACAUUAAGGAGGCACUUUUGAUGAUGGGAAAUGUUGAAGAAGAGGAAUUAAAUGAGGAAAGUGAAGGAGAUAAGGAAUUGGAUCCUGGUUUUGGAGCAGAGGUGAUGGAUGCUUUUAAGAUUGGUGCGAUUUUUUACGGAUGGAUAAUAAUAUAUUUGCUGGUUUGCAGUUUGACUGUGAUUCGGGAAUGGAGAGCUUGAAGAUUGUUAAAUAUAUUGGGGGGGGUGGGGGGUGGAAAGUUCUCCUUUUGUUUAUUGGUGUUUGGCUCAUUUCUUCCUCAUAAUCACAGUGCUAAUACUGCAGGAAAAUAUGUUAGAUUGUGACUUCACAUCUAUCCCUCAAAAUUGAUCUGUAAAUAUCUUGUUUUAAAGUUAGAAAUUUGAAUAUCAUAAUUUGUACUUUAAAAAAAAAAAAAAAAAAGGGUAGUAGUGAGGAUAAGCUCUAUUAGUUUGUCAGUUUGUCAGUGUAUUAGAAAGUAGAGAAGCAGGUGAAACAAUUAGGACACCUUGUGUAAAUAAACAAAGGAAUGACUCUGGCUCUUCACCCAUUGAUAAAAAAAAUUUAUCAGUCCGUUGGGACUCAAGGAGCAUUUGAUUCUUUCUCAAGCACAGAGCUUGCUGGUUGAUAAGGUCAAGAAACUCUUGUAAUCUGAAGCUGAAUUUCAGAGCUCUAAGGCAGAGGCUUCAGAUGGAAAUCCUCCAUUUCUAGCCGAUAAAUAUAAUCUAGUUUCUGGAAAUUUACCAGUUGCUCCAGUUCACUGUCUGCAAGGAAUAUGGCAACUUCCAGCAAGCUCGACAUGUACCAAUUCACCCGAUGAUUUCGGCUACCACCACCAGUUCACAUUACAAUCCUUCUCUGCUUUGGCCAAGUUAUCAAUCAACUGCCACUGCUGCCCAACACAUUUCUAGUCAUCAGAAGACUCCAGAAACAGCUACCAAUUCUCAGUAUGUUCCAAGACUCCAUAAACAGCCACCAAUUCUCAGUAUGUUCCUACUCCACUCGUGCCAAGGGAUUUAACAACUGUUACUAUUGACUAGUUUAUUACUACUCAUCAUAAAACUCCAGAAACCACUACCGGUUGUCAGUAGAUACCCACUAGACCCUGGCCGAGGAAUCCAACGACUUUACCACCAAGUGCUUUACACAUUAGUGCUAUGUAUCUUUCUGUCAACCCAAUUUCCACUCAAAGAUAAAGCAUAUAGCUGUUGGUUACCACUUUGUUAGUGAUCAUGUGACAAAUGGAAUCUUCAAUGUCUAGUACAUAUCUAUGAAGAACCAGCUUGCAGAUUCUCUUACUAAACCACUAUCAAGACAUCAAUUUGCUACAUUAUGGGCCAAGAUUAUUAUCUCCAAUGGGAGUACCAUCUUGCAGGGGCCUAAUGUACAAGCAUAUUCUUUAUUGCUGGUGCCGUGAUCAUGGCAAGUCAGCUGGCACUCUCAGUAUUGAAUUCAUUCCUAUGUUGUGAUCAUGGAAAGUAAAUUAGUGCAAGCAUGACUUGAGGACUGCAGUCAUGCAAUUGUAAACCUGAUACUUAGAUUAGUCACUUUCUGUAAAUAGAUUCCAUUAAGACUGCUGUACAUAACAGAGAUACAUAUUAAUGGAAACCUUAACUUUCCAGACAAAAAUUUCUUUUCUACAUCCGUCCUUUCUCUGACGGAAAGUGUUUAAAUAAAGAGGAAACAUGCUCCUGAUCAUAUAUUUGUUUGCAGAAACAUAAUUAAUGUACUUGUUCGCAAAAUUUGCAGAAACAUAAUUAAUCAUAUGCUAUUUGAAAAAAAAAAAACAGUGACAAAAUAAGUUGCUGAUAUCCAUUACCAAAUUCGUUAGUGGUGCAUUAAUAGAGAAUUAAAGUAAAAAAAUAGCCUCAGAUUUUGUGAAGGAAUAAUUCUUCUUCCACACAUUGUGAGCCGAGCUGUCUUGUACAUCCAUGCGCACAUUUUGCACAGAACAUGCACUGACUUCAUCUCCCUAGCUGUCUUGUACACACAUGCACACAUUUUGCACAAAACACACACAUAAGGUCAAAUUACAAAUUAAUUCAUACCUAGUCUUAUGUAGUAUGCAAAUAAGGUCAUAUAUGUCUUGAGAUAUAUCUAUAUAAAGCUUGCCCCAGGCCCAACUAAUUUUUUAAGGUAAAAAAAUUUUUAAAAAUAAAAAAAGAACAAAUUCUACUGGUAUAGAAAAUUUGUUUUGUCUCCCAGGCUCCAUCCCUGCUUAAAGACUUUUAUUUUCUUAUCUUGUGAACUAUACAAGGUAAGUAGUAGGUUUUAAUAUUUUUCCAGAUUAGCACUCGCAUUUUGAAUUUCAGUGGCUGCCAUAUAUUAUUUUGUAUUCAGUACAGAUACUUACAAGAGUGAACAUACCAUGCCACUCUAGAAACAUGAGACAACAUUAUUAAUGGAUAACGCAAUUGCUUCCCUUUCGUAACCAGGCUAAUAUCCAUUUAUCCCUGGAAAUUAUUUAAGAAAACCCUAAUUCAUGUGGAUAAUGGUUUUAUCUUUUGGCUUGAUUUGUUAAACUCAGAUCAGUUACUCAUAACAGUCUCUUGUAAAAGUAUUCACACAGAAAAUUCCAUCUCAGUAUUUUUUAGAUAAUUGUAGAAGCAUAUUUUCUUAAGAGAGAUAAUACUUCUAUGAUUCAUAUUAAUGAAUAUGAUUUAUGAUUCUAAUCGUUUGUUGUUU